This is a long non-coding RNA of Solanum lycopersicum (tomato), 879 nucleotides long. RefSeq lists it as uncharacterized. The record is from RefSeq and is a predicted model, not a curated record. Lineage: Eukaryota; Viridiplantae; Streptophyta; Magnoliopsida; Solanales; Solanaceae.
UUAAUUUCUUUUUGACAUUUUCUAAAAUGAAACUCCAAACAUCUCAUUAUCUCUAUCUUCACUGUUUUAUUACAUAAAGCAGGCCUUAAUUACGACAUAAACGCUGAUUAUUACCUUUGAAGAUUCAGUUAACAUAGCUAGAAGAGACUUCACAUGUGAUUCAAGCAGAAUAUACAAUGUCACACAUUUGAACUACCCUUCAUUUGUUGUUCCAUUCCCAACCAAUAUUGAAAGUGCCAGUUCAAUCGCAAUCAAAUGUAGUCGGACACUGACUAAUGUUGGAUCGUCUGGAACAUACAACGUUAUCCAGUGGAAAUUAUAAUGUCGGCGAAUCACAUAUACUUUUUCCUUCAUUCAUGUUGGUCUCUAUCGCACACCUUUACUAUUUUGCUUUCCAAACAACAACUUAAGCCACCACACCAUCAGAUCUGACUGAAAAAACUCUUCAUCGCCAUGGCCGCACUCUAACCCACCUCUUUCUCCUCUGUAGUAGUCAGUGUCGCAUCUCUCUCACACUAUAGUGUGAAACAAUGGUGGCGUUCACCACUAGUCCCACUUCUCUCUCAAGCCACUGUGAUUCAAUGGUCUCCGACGAGCAAUGGGAGCAAGCAUUGCAUGGACAGUAUUUUGUUUAUUGGCAAUGCAUUGACAAAUGUGUUGCCCAAUGAUGCACUUUUGUAUAGGAACGACAGCUCUCAAUACAGCAGAAACAGUCACAUAGCUUUGUUUCUGUACUCAAGAGACUAUAUAGCAUCUUUCACUUCAGUCUCCCAAGUCUAGGAUGAAUAAUAGUUCCUUAUUCUUAUAAAUUGCAUCAUGCUAACUGCUAUGGCACUUUCAAACUACAUGAAUGUCAAAUGCUUCUGUCGUUGCACAAAA